UCUGGUGACCUUUGAGGAGGUGGCCGUGUAUUUCACGGAGGAGGAAUGGGCCCUGCUGGAUCCCGGCCAAAGAGCUCUGCACAGGGAAGUCAUGGAGGAGAAUUAUGAGACGGUGGCCUCUCUCGAGUCGGACCUCCAUUCGUGUUGGGAAGAAAGAGAAGAUGCCUUUAUCCUGGAUCCCAAAGAAGAGGCGACAUCAACAGCAGGUGACGGGCAGAAGAAUGAGAAUUAUAGAGAACCGCAGAUGGUGCCACUGGUAAUAGCCAAGACUGAGAGUCAGAAAGAGA
Rhineura floridana is the source of this 287-nucleotide long non-coding RNA. RefSeq lists it as uncharacterized. The transcript has 3 exons. NCBI's taxonomy places the organism in Eukaryota, Metazoa, Chordata, Lepidosauria, Squamata, Rhineuridae. The record is from RefSeq and is a predicted model, not a curated record.